This 497-nucleotide ribosomal RNA is filed under the name uncultured bacterium. RNAcentral's name for it is "partial 16S ribosomal RNA". It matches the Rfam family "Bacterial small subunit ribosomal RNA", at positions 28 to 507 of the family's 1533-position model. The record is from RNAcentral.
GAUGAACGCUGGCGGCGUGCCUAAUACAUGCAAGUCGAGCGAACAGACGAGGAGCUUGCUCCUCUGACGUUAGCGGCGGACGGGUGAGUAACACGUGGAUAACCUACCUAUAAGACUGGGAUAACUUCGGGAAACCGGAGCUAAUACCGGAUAAUAUAUUGAACCGCAUGGUUCAAUAGUGAAAGACGGUUUUGCUGUCACUUAUAGAUGGAUCCGCGCCGCAUUAGCUAGUUGGUAAGGUAACGGCUUACCAAGGCGACGAUACGUAGCCGACCUGAGAGGGUGAUCGGCCACACUGGAACUGAGACACGGUCCAGACUCCUACGGGAGGCAGCAGUAGGGAAUCUUCCGCAAUGGGCGAAAGCUUGACGGAGCAACGCCGCGUGAGUGAUGAAGGUCUUCGGAUCGUAAAACUCUGUUAUUAGGGAAGAACAAAUGUGUAAGUAACUAUGCACGUCUUGACGGUACCUAAUCAGAAAGCCACGGCUAACUACGUG